GUUUAAAAAAACAUUAUAUUUUCAUUAUAAAAUUAAUAAAAUUUAUUAUUUAUAAAAUUAUU
This 62-nucleotide transfer RNA is filed under the name Eupelmus anpingensis. Its description in RNAcentral is "tRNA-Glu". The record is from RNAcentral. Lineage: Eukaryota; Metazoa; Arthropoda; Insecta; Hymenoptera; Eupelmidae.